CUACGGGUCGCACCAGUGAGGAAUAUUGCACAAUGGGGGGAACCCUGAUGCAGCAACGCCGCGUGGAGGAUGACGCAUUUCGGUGUGUAAACUCCUUUUAUAUGUCAAGAAAAUGACGGUAGCAUAUGAAUAAGCACCGGCUAACUCCGUGCCAGCAGCCGCGGUAAUAGGAGGGUGCAAGCGUUACUCGGAAUCACUGGGCGUAAAGGGCGCGUAGGCGGGUUGGAAAGUCAGGUGUGAAAUCCUACAGCUUAACUGUAGAACUGCACUUGAAACUUCUAAUCUAGAGUAUGGGAGGGGGAGAUGGAAUUAGUGGUGUAGGGGUAAAAUCCGUAGAUAUCACUAGGAAUACCUAAAGCGAAGGCGAUCUCCUGGAACAUUACUGACGCUAAGGCGUGAAAGCGUGGGGAGCAAACAGGAUUAGAUACCCUUGUAGUC
RNAcentral lists this ribosomal RNA (438 nucleotides) under uncultured bacterium. Its description in RNAcentral is "partial 16S ribosomal RNA". It matches the Rfam family "Bacterial small subunit ribosomal RNA", at positions 339 to 795 of the family's 1533-position model. The record is from RNAcentral.